This 437-nucleotide ribosomal RNA is filed under the name uncultured Oscillospiraceae bacterium. Its description in RNAcentral is "bacterial SSU rRNA". It matches the Rfam family "Bacterial small subunit ribosomal RNA", at positions 341 to 792 of the family's 1533-position model. The record is from RNAcentral. Lineage: Bacteria; Bacillati; Bacillota; Clostridia; Eubacteriales; Oscillospiraceae.
ACGGAAGGCAGCAGUGGGGAAUAUUGGGCAAUGGGCGAAAGCCUGACCCAGCGACGCCGCGUGAGGGAAGAAGGUCUUCGGAUUGUAAACCUUAGUCAACAGGGAAGAAGAAAGUGACGGUACCUGUGGAGGAAGCCACGGCUAACUACGUGCCAGCAGCCGCGGUAAUACGUAGGUGGCGAGCGUUAUCCGGAUUUACUGGGUGUAAAGGGUGUGUAGGCGGGGCGGCAAGUCAGAUGUGAAAAUUAUGGGCUCAACUCAUAACCUGCAUUUGAAACUGCUGUUCUUGAGUAUCGGAGAGGUAAGCGGAAUUCCCGGUGUAGCGGUGAAAUGCGUAGAUAUCGGGAGGAACAUCGGUGGCGAAGGCGGCUUACUGGACGACAACUGACGCUGAGACACGAAAGUGUGGGGAGCAAACAGGAUUAGAUACCCUGGUA